GAUGAACGCUGGCGGCGUGCCUAAUACAUGCAAGUCGAGCGAACAGACGAGGAGCUUGCUCCUCUGACGUUAGCGGCGGACGGGUGAGUAACACGUGGAUAACCUACCUAUAAGACAGGGAUAACUUCGGGAAACCGGAGCUAAUACCGGAUAAUAUAUUGAACCGCAUGGUUCAAUAGUGAAAGACGGUUUUGCUGUCACUUAUAGAUGGAUCCGCGCCGCAUUAGCUAGUUGGUAAGGUAACGGCUUACCAAGGCAACGAUGCGUAGCCGACCUGAGAGGGUGAUCGGCCACACUGGAACUGAGACACGGUCCAGACUCCUACGGGAGGCAGCAGUAGGGAAUCUUCCGCAAUGGGCGAAAGCCUGACGGAGCAACGCCGCGUGAGUGAUGAAGGUCUUCGGAUCGUAGAACUCUGUUAUUAGGGAAGAACAAAUGUGUAAGUAACUAUGCACGUCUUGACGGUACCUAAUCAGAAAGCCACGGCUAACUACGUG
Molecule: ribosomal RNA, 497 nt
Filed under: uncultured bacterium
Lineage: Bacteria
Description: partial 16S ribosomal RNA
Rfam family: Bacterial small subunit ribosomal RNA
Source: RNAcentral